GACUCCUACGGGAGGCAGCAGUAGGGAAUAUUCGGCAAUAGACGGAAGUCUGAUGGAGCAACGCCGCGUGAGUGAUGAAGGAGUUCGUAUGGUAAUAAUACAUUUUUAGGGAGGAGGAGGUUCCUUUAAAAUAUGGCUAGAGAUAGACGGGUGCCUAUCCAGAAAGACGCGCGUAUAUACUUUCCAGCAGCACGCGGUAAUACGUAGAUGGCAAGCGUUGUCCGGAAUUAUUGGGCGUAAAGGGCUCGCAGGCGGUUUCUUAAGUCUGAUGUGAAAGCUCCCGGCUCAACCGGGGAGGGUCAUUGGAAACUGGGGAACUUGAGUGCAGAAGAGGAGAGUGGAAUUCCACGUGUAGCGGUGAAAUGCGUAGAGAUGUGGAGGAACACCAGUGGCGAAGGCGACUCUCUGGUCUGUAACUGACGCUGAGAGCGAA
Molecule: ribosomal RNA, 433 nt
Filed under: Bacillus sp. (in: firmicutes)
Lineage: Bacteria; Bacillati; Bacillota; Bacilli; Caryophanales; Bacillaceae
Description: bacterial SSU rRNA
Rfam family: Bacterial small subunit ribosomal RNA
Source: RNAcentral